GGGUAGAGCACUGUUUCGGCUAGGGGGUCAUCCCGACUUACCAAACCGAUGCAAACUCCGAAUACCCAGAAGUGCCGAGCAUGGGAGACACACGGCGGGUGCUAACGUCCGUCGUGAAAAGGGAAACAACCCAGACCGCCAGCUAAGGUCCCAAAGUUGUGGUUAAGUGGUAAACGAUGUGGGAAGGCUUAGACAGCUAGGAGGUUGGCUUAGAAGCAGCCAUCCUUUAAAGAAAGCGUAAUAGCUCACUAGUCGAGUCGGCCUGCGCGGAAGAUGUAACGGGGCUCAAACCACACACCGAAGCUGCGGGUGUCACGUAAGUGACGCGGUAGAGGAGCGUUCUGUAAGCCUGUGAAGGUGAGUUGAGAAGCUUGCUGGAGGUAUCAGAAGUGCGAAUGCUGACAUGAGUAACGACAAUGGGUGUGAAAAACACCCACGCCGAAAGACCAAGGGUUCCUGCGCAACGUUAAUCGACGCAGGGUUAGUCGGUUCCUAAGGCGAGGCUGAAAAGCGUAGUCGAUGGGAAACAGGUUAAUAUUCCUGUACUUCUGGUUACUGCGAUGGAGGGACGGAGAAGGCUAGGCCAGCUUGGCGUUGGUUGUCCAAGUUUAAGGUGGUAGGCUGAAAUCUUAGGUAAAUCCGGGGUUUCAAGGCCGAGAGCUGAUGACGAGUCGUCUUUUAGAUGACGAAGUGGUUGAUGCCAUGCUUCCAAGAAAAGCUUCUAAGCUUCAGGUAACCAGGAACCGUACCCCAAACCGACACAGGUGGUCGGGUAGAGAAUACCAAGGCGCUUGAGAGAACUCGGGUGAAGGAACUAGGCAAAAUGGCACCGUAACUUCGGGAGAAGGUGCGCCGGCUAGGGUGAAGGAUUUACUCCGUAAGCUCUGGCUGGUCGAAGAUACCAGGCCGCUGCGACUGUUUAUUAAAAACACAGCACUCUGCAAACACGAAAGUGGACGUAUAGGGUGUGACGCCUGCCCGGUGCCGGAAGGUUAAUUGAUGGGGUUAGCGCAAGCGAAGCUCUUGAUCGAAGCCCCGGUAAACGGCGGCCGUAACUAUAACGGUCCUAAGGUAGCGAAAUUCCUUGUCGGGUAAGUUCCGACCUGCACGAAUGGCGUAACGAUGGCGGCGCUGUCUCCACCCGAGACUCAGUGAAAUUGAAAUCGCUGUGAAGAUGCAGUGUAUCCGCGGCUAGACGGAAAGACCCCGUGAACCUUUACUGUAGCUUUGCACUGGACUUUGAGCCUGCUUGUGUAGGAUAGGUGGGAGGCUUUGAAGCGUGGACGCCAGUUCGCGUGGAGCCAUCCUUGAAAUACCACCCUGGCAUGCUUGAGGUUCUAACUCUGGUCCGUGAUCCGGAUCGAGGACAGUGUAUGGUGGGCAGUUUGACUGGGGCGGUCUCCUCCUAAAGAGUAACGGAGGAGUACGAAGGUGCGCUCAGACCGGUCGGAAAUCGGUCGCAGAGUAUAAAGGCAAAAGCGCGCUUGACUGCGAGACAGACACGUCGAGCAGGUACGAAAGUAGGUCUUAGUGAUCCGGUGGUUCUGUAUGGAAGGGCCAUCGCUCAACGGAUAAAAGGUACUCCGGGGAUAACAGGCUGAUACCGCCCAAGAGUUCAUAUCGACGGCGGUGUUUGGCACCUCGAUGUCGGCUCAUCACAUCCUGGGGCUGAAGCCGGUCCCAAGGGUAUGGCUGUUCGCCAUUUAAAGUGGUACGCGAGCUGGGUUUAGAACGUCGUGAGACAGUUCGGUCUCUAUCUGCCGUGGACGUUUGAGAUUUGAGAGGGGCUGCUCCUAGUACGAGAGGACCGGAGUGGACGAACCUCUGGUGUUCCGGUUGUCACGCCAGUGGCAUUGCCGGGUAGCUAUGUUCGGAAAAGAUAACCGCUGAAAGCAUCUAAGCGGGAAACUUGCCUCAAGAUGAGAUCUCACUGGGAACUUGAUUCCCCUGAAGGGCCGUCGAAGACUACGACGUUGAUAGGCUGGGUGUGUAAGCGUUGU
This 2000-nucleotide ribosomal RNA is filed under the name Pseudomonas aeruginosa. RNAcentral's name for it is "bacterial LSU rRNA". It matches the Rfam family "Bacterial large subunit ribosomal RNA", at positions 900 to 2879 of the family's 2925-position model. Lineage: Bacteria; Pseudomonadati; Pseudomonadota; Gammaproteobacteria; Pseudomonadales; Pseudomonadaceae. The record is from RNAcentral.